CCAAUAGCGUAUAUUAAAGUUGCUGCAGUUAAAAAGCUCGUAGUUGAAUUUCGGGAUCAUCAUGUCGGUCGUGCCUCGGUACGUACUGGCAUCGUUGAUUUCUCCCUUCUGACGAACCAUGAUGUCAUUUAUUUGGUGUUGUGGGGAAUCAGGACUGUUACUUUGAAAAAAUUAGAGUGUUUAAAGCAGGCUCACGCUUGAAUACAUUAGCAUGGAAUAAUGAAAUAGGACGUUUGAUUCUAUUUUGUUGGUUUCUAGGAUCGACGUAAUGAUUAAUAGGGAUAGUUGGGGGCAUUAGUAUUCAAUUGUCAGAGGUGAAAUUCUUGGAUUUAUUGAAGACUAACUACUGCGAAAGCAUUUGCCAAGGAUGUUUUCAUUAAUCAAGAACGAAAGUUAGUGGAUCGAAGACGAUCAGAUACCGUCGUAGUCUUAACCAUAAACUAUGCCGACUAGGGAUCGGAUGAUGUUAAUUUUUUAAUGACUCAUUCGGCGCCUUACG
This 499-nucleotide ribosomal RNA is filed under the name uncultured Glomeromycotina. Its description in RNAcentral is "partial small subunit ribosomal RNA". It matches the Rfam family "Eukaryotic small subunit ribosomal RNA", at positions 591 to 1092 of the family's 1831-position model. Lineage: Eukaryota; Fungi; Glomeromycota. The record is from RNAcentral.